Nicotiana attenuata is the source of this 887-nucleotide long non-coding RNA. RefSeq lists it as uncharacterized. The record is from RefSeq and is a predicted model, not a curated record. Lineage: Eukaryota; Viridiplantae; Streptophyta; Magnoliopsida; Solanales; Solanaceae. The transcript has 2 exons.
AAAGACUAAAAGAGGGGAGAGCCGCAGAGUACAGGCCGCAACAGUGAAGAGAACAGACCGCCCCCCCCCCCCCCCAGAUCAUCGUCUUCGAACCCCACAGCCCUGAAACGAACGACCCCUACCUCCUUCAACCAUCCCAAACGACCAGACCCACGCUCCAGCUACACCCCAACCCAAAAAGAGACACACACGAUCGGGCAAGAGAGAACGGAGUAACGGAAAACAAAGAACGAAACAGAAACGGCAAAAUGCAAAAAUCGAAAAUAUAUAUGUGCAUAUAUAAAAGAGCUUCUGUUUUCUUCACUUGAUUUUGGUUUUGGAUUCAAAAAUCCAUGGUGUUUGUUUGAGGUCUGGAAGUCUGCUGAUUUUGGUUGCCGAUUCGACGGUGGCUCGCAAUUCCGUUCGAGUUUUGGUUCGAUUUUGUCGUCGUUGCUGGUCAUCGUAGAUUCCGGUCGCGGUUCCAAUUUAAUUAGGGAUUUCACUAGCUGUUUCUGGUCUUUUGGAACUCACUGUUAAACGUUCCCUCCUCUGCUUGUAUUCACUUCAAGACAUAAUCGAAAUUAACGCGCAUUCAGGUCAAAGCUCGAUCCGGAGUUAUAUCGAACCAAGGCGCGAAGCUAAAUCGUUGAGCUCGUGACUCCGGGACCGAACAAGAUCGAGGGAAUUUUGUCGAGCCAAAUAACGGAAGGCCGAAAUAUCCGCGAUCGGUUGGAGAUCACGGCGAAAAUCUCGGUACGUACCAAGGAGAGGCCAAUUAAUUAUCAAAUCAUGAUAUUUUUUAUCUUUCAUAGAAUUGUAUCAAGAAUAGCGCUCCCCUACUAUAUAAAGGGAGGUUUGAUCAUUUGUAAAACAGAUUAUAAUACGCAUAAAAAGGCAAUACACUGUUA